AUCCAUGUGGCGCAAUGGAUAGCGCGUUGGAUUUCUAAUUCAAAUGUCGUGGUUUCGAAUUCCACCUGGGAUG
RNAcentral lists this transfer RNA (73 nucleotides) under Trichonephila inaurata madagascariensis. It matches the Rfam family "tRNA". From Rfam's summary of the family: Transfer RNA (tRNA) molecules are approximately 80 nucleotides in length. The record is from Rfam by way of RNAcentral. Lineage: Eukaryota; Metazoa; Arthropoda; Arachnida; Araneae; Nephilidae.